This 580-nucleotide ribosomal RNA is filed under the name Clostridioides difficile. RNAcentral's name for it is "bacterial SSU rRNA". It matches the Rfam family "Bacterial small subunit ribosomal RNA", at positions 200 to 801 of the family's 1533-position model. The record is from RNAcentral. Lineage: Bacteria; Bacillati; Bacillota; Clostridia; Peptostreptococcales; Peptostreptococcaceae.
AUCAAAGGUGAGCCAGUACAGGAUGGACCCGCGUCUGAUUAGCUAGUUGGUAAGGUAACGGCUUACCAAGGCGACGAUCAGUAGCCGACCUGAGAGGGUGAUCGGCCACAUUGGAACUGAGACACGGUCCAAACUCCUACGGGAGGCAGCAGUGGGGAAUAUUGCACAAUGGGCGAAAGCCUGAUGCAGCAACGCCGCGUGAGUGAUGAAGGCCUUCGGGUCGUAAAACUCUGUCCUCAAGGAAGAUAAUGACGGUACUUGAGGAGGAAGCCCCGGCUAACUACGUGCCAGCAGCCGCGGUAAUACGUAGGGGGCUCGCGUUAUCCGGAUUUACUGGGCGUAAAGGGUGCGUAGGCGGUCUUUCAAGUCAGGGGUGAACGGCUACGGGUCAACAGUAGUAAGCUCUUGAAACUGGGAGACUUGAGUGCAGGAGAGGAGAGUGGAAUUCCUAGGGUAGCGGUGAAAUGCGUAGAUAUUAGGAGGAACACCAGUUGCGAAGGCGGCUCUCUGGACUGUAACUGACGCUGAGGCACGAAAGCGUGGGGAGCAAACAGGAUUAGAUACCCUGGUAGUCCACGCU